This 253-nucleotide ribosomal RNA is filed under the name uncultured bacterium. RNAcentral describes it as "partial 16S ribosomal RNA". It matches the Rfam family "Bacterial small subunit ribosomal RNA", at positions 524 to 776 of the family's 1533-position model. The record is from RNAcentral.
GACGGAGGAUGCAAGUGUUAUCCGGAAUCACUGGGCGUAAAGCGUCUGUAGGUGGUUUAAUAAGUCAACUGUUAAAUCUUGAGGCUCAACCUCAAAAUCGCAGUCGAAACUAUUAGACUAGAGUAUAGUAGGGGUAAAGGGAAUUUCCAGUGGAGCGGUGAAAUGCGUAGAUAUUGGAAAGAACACCGAUGGCGAAGGCACUUUACUGGGCUAUUACUAACACUCAGAGACGAAAGCUAGGGUAGCAAAUGGG